Molecule: ribosomal RNA, 446 nt
Filed under: uncultured bacterium
Lineage: Bacteria
Description: partial 16S ribosomal RNA
Rfam family: Bacterial small subunit ribosomal RNA
Source: RNAcentral
CCUACGGGUGGCAGCAGUCGAGAAUCAUUCAUAAUGGGGGAAACCCUGAUGGUGCGACGCCGCGUGGGGGAAUGAAGGUCUUCGGAUUGUAAACCCCUGUCAUGUGGGAGCAAAUUAAAAAGAUAGUACCACAAGAGGAAGAGACGGCUAACUCUGUGCCAGCAGCCGCGGUAAUACAGAGGUCUCAAGCGUUGUUCGGAAUCACUGGGCGUAAGGCGUGCGUAGGCUGUUUCGUAAGUCGUGUGUGAAAGGCGCGGGCUCAACCCGCGGACGGCACAUGAUACUGCGAGACUAGAGUAAUGGAGGGGGAACCGGAAUUCUCGGUGUAGCAGUGAAAUGCGUAGAUAUCGAGAGGAACACUCGUGGCGAAGGCGGGUUCCUGGACAUUAACUGACGCUGAGGCACGAAGGCCAGGGGAGCGAAAGGGAUUAGAUACCCCUGUAGUC